CUACGGGUGGCUGCAGUGGGGAAUAUUGGACAAUGGGCGCAAGCCUGAUCCAGCCAUGCCGCGUGUGUGAAGAAGGCCUUCGGGUUGUAAAGCACUUUCAGUUGGGAGGAAAGGUUAGUCGCUAAUAUCGGCUAGCUGUGACGUUACCAACAGAAGAAGCACCGGCUAACUCCGUGCCAGCAGCCGCGGUAAUACGGAGGGUGCAAGCGUUAAUCGGAAUUACUGGGCGUAAAGCGUACGCAGGCGGUUGAUUAAGCGAGAUGUGAAAGCCCCGGGCUCAACCUGGGAACUGCAUUUCGAACUGGUCAACUAGAGUGUGAUAGAGGGUGGUAGAAUUUCAGGUGUAGCGGUGAAAUGCGUAGAGAUCUGAAGGAAUACCGAUGGCGAAGGCAGCCACCUGGGUCAACACUGACGCUCAUGUACGAAAGCGUGGGGAGCAAACAGGAUUAGAUACCCCAGUAGUC
This 464-nucleotide ribosomal RNA is filed under the name uncultured bacterium. Its description in RNAcentral is "partial 16S ribosomal RNA". It matches the Rfam family "Bacterial small subunit ribosomal RNA", at positions 339 to 795 of the family's 1533-position model. The record is from RNAcentral.